ACACUCCUACGGGAGGCAGCAGUGGGGAAUUUUGGACAAUGGGCGAAAGCCUGAUCCAGCAAUGCCGCGUGAGUGAAGAAGGCCUUCGGGUUGUAAAGCUCUUUUGUCAGGGAAGAAACGGUGAAAGCUAAUAUCUUUUGCUAAUGACGGUACCUGAAGAAUAAGCACCGGCUAACUACGUGCCAGCAGCCGCGGUAAUACGUAGGGUGCAAGCGUUAAUCGGAAUUACUGGGCGUAAAGCGUGCGCAGGCGGUUUUGUAAGUCUGAUGUGAAAUCCCCGGGCUCAACCUGGGAAUUGCAUUGGAGACUGCAAGGCUAGAAUCUGGCAGAGGGGGGUAGAAUUCCACGUGUAGCAGUGAAAUGCGUAGAUAUGUGGAGGAACACCGAUGGCGAAGGCAGCCCCCUGGGUCAAGAUUGACGCUCAUGCACGAAAGCGUGGGGAGCAAACAGGAUUAGAAAUCCCAGUAGUCCCA
RNAcentral lists this ribosomal RNA (473 nucleotides) under uncultured organism. Its description in RNAcentral is "partial 16S ribosomal RNA". It matches the Rfam family "Bacterial small subunit ribosomal RNA", at positions 333 to 797 of the family's 1533-position model. The record is from RNAcentral.